This 1448-nucleotide long non-coding RNA is filed under the name Prunus dulcis (almond). RNAcentral describes it as "sRNA ncRNA". The record is from RNAcentral. Lineage: Eukaryota; Viridiplantae; Streptophyta; Magnoliopsida; Rosales; Rosaceae.
AUGCAGUUCUUCCAGCUAUCAAUAUCACUCUUAGCCUCCUUUGUUUCGAAAACUGCCUCAAGCUCAAGCUCGCCAGCACUCCUGCUCACCAGGUAUUAGAAAAUAAAAAGAAAAGAGUAUAGAACUAAUGAAUGCCAUAGUACAUUGAGUUGAGUUUAUGCCAAUUCAUGCUAUGCCCUUUUAAAUUGAAAUUUGAACCCAAAUAGUCCUCACUGCAGUCAAAUACAUUAAUUCUUCCCUGCAGUCAAAUACCUUAAUUCUUCCCUGCAGUCAAAUCUCUGUUUCCUUCAUUUUCCUGCAGUAGUACUUUUUAUUUCAAUUUGGGUGACUUUUAAAUAUUUUAAUAAUUCAAAGCUUUCAAUAUUGUUAUUGACUUGUUUUGUUGCAUAGUUUGGAAUAUCCUGAGACUAGGGUCCUCUGUAAGCACCAAAUCUAUAAAAGUAUCCUAUAGUUCAGCUACUUGAACUGCACAGAUGCUAAAGUCGAAAGUGAAAAAUAGGCCGACAACGAGAUCUGAAAUCAGAGUGAAGGACGGAUAAAUAGUGCCAACUAAGCAUAACAUCUGAAAGUAAAUACUAAUUUUUUCAUUCUUUUCAAAACAGAUUUCCUGUCUGUCUGUUACAUGGUACAAUAUAACUUAAAUAACUGCUGUUCCAUAUCCUUAAGUUUUAUAAAUUAUUCGAUAAUUGUUAUGGAGGGGGUUAUAUAAUUUGAGUUUUGGUAUGAUGGAGCUCAACAUUGAGCUCAAGAAUUCCUCCGAUAGUUAUUGUAACCUAACAUAGGUAUGGUUGAAAUUACAGUUCCUUUGGAAAAAGCCUGCCUUUGAUUUGGUUUAGUUACAAAUUUACAAUGCUUUUUUAUGAAUUUACUCAAAUAGGUGGAUCAAUAGGAGACCAUAAUUUCUCGUCUCAACAUAUUCUUUCUUUUGGCCUUCUCUGUUGGAUCAAUGUUGUCCAUCCUGGAGGCUUUAGUUAUAAGUGCUGGGAGAAGUUCAAAUACAUGGUCGGAACUUCCUUGCUAAUGGAUAGAAGGGCUAAGUAAAUACUGUUGAGAUGACUACCGGAACUUGCUUUUUUCUCUGUUAUAGUUGAAAUGCAUUCUCUGCUUUUAAUAUCAAUUAAUAAUGUCAGAUUGUCAUAUUUGUAGAUUGUUUUUUGUUAGUAAAUUUUUUGUCUUAAGUUGACUGAACCUUUACCAUUUGUAUCGCAGCUACUAGAUUCAUACUCCAGUCAUCUCCUUGUUCGACAUGCAUUUUGCUGACAGUCGUCUGCAUGUCCAUACAUCCACUUGUCUCUUUUAUUUUCCUUCUAUAUUGUAGGAGCCAUCAUAACCAUUUCCCAUUUUCCACUUUCUUGAUCAGAUGGCAGACAAGCAUACUUGGUCAAACAAAGAAGAGAAAACAUUGCCGGCUGACAUCGAGGAGUCGUCGUUGCAAAUGGCCAAUGUGA